Non-coding RNA from Eggerthia catenaformis, 207 nucleotides. The record is from Rfam. Lineage: Bacteria; Bacillati; Bacillota; Erysipelotrichia; Erysipelotrichales; Coprobacillaceae.
GAGAACUGACAAUCUGAUAGGUAGAAUGACGGGGUAACGCCCUGAAAUGCCUACACUGAUACUCCGAUUGGCAAUGAAUAUUAGACUAUUUCAUUGUCAAAAGCUCGGUGAAGUCGGCAGAGAGUAGCCGUAAGACUGGUAUUUCAUAUCAGACACGAAAGCUGUUCAGAGGUGGACGGUGCUACCUAUAUGCCGGGUGUCGAAUAC